CCGGUGCGCGCACGCGCGCGCGCACACACAAUUUGACUUCUCGGCGGUUCCUGAAACACUCAGGCUAGAGGAAUUUUAAGAGCCUACACAACUCACUAAUGGGAGAGACCUCACUCAAGUGAUUUGCUACCACGUAUUGAAAGAAGUCGGGAUGAUGCCACAUUCCCAAGGGAUACCAGAAGAACUCAAUGAAGGAUCACUUUUAACGUUCAGUGUGUGUCUUCCAGACAGUGUUUGAAUGAGUUCUAUCCUUGGCCUUGAGGAACUCCAGACCACUGAAGAAAUGGGCAUGGGCAUCAGAAGAGAUUUGUGUCAUUUUGAUAGAUUUGA
Molecule: long non-coding RNA, 330 nt
Organism: Globicephala melas (long-finned pilot whale)
Lineage: Eukaryota; Metazoa; Chordata; Mammalia; Artiodactyla; Delphinidae
Source: RefSeq, a predicted model, not a curated record